GGUCUUAUAGUUUAUUUUAAAAAUGUUAGAUUGCAAAUUUAAAGAAGAUUAAUAUCUAAGACUU
This 64-nucleotide transfer RNA is filed under the name Aconurella prolixa. Its description in RNAcentral is "tRNA-Cys". It matches the Rfam family "tRNA". Rfam says of the family: Transfer RNA (tRNA) molecules are approximately 80 nucleotides in length. Their secondary structure includes four short double-helical elements and three loops (D, anti-codon, and T loops). The record is from RNAcentral. Lineage: Eukaryota; Metazoa; Arthropoda; Insecta; Hemiptera; Cicadellidae.